RNAcentral lists this ribosomal RNA (451 nucleotides) under uncultured bacterium. RNAcentral's name for it is "bacterial SSU rRNA". It matches the Rfam family "Bacterial small subunit ribosomal RNA", at positions 330 to 795 of the family's 1533-position model. The record is from RNAcentral.
CCCAGACUCCUACGGGAGGCAGCAGUCGGGAAUAUUGCGCAAUGGAGGAAACUCUGACGCAGUGACGCCGCGUGCAGGAAGAAGGUUUUCGGAUUGUAAACUGCUUUAGACAGGGAAGAAAGAAAUGACGGUACCUGUAGAAUAAGCUCCGGCUAACUACGUGCCAGCAGCCGCGGUAAUACGUAGGGGGCAAGCGUUAUCCGGAUUUACUGGGUGUAAAGGGAGCGUAGACGGACUUGCAAGUCUGAUGUGAAAAUCCGGGGCCCAACCCCGGAACUGCAUUGGAAACUGUAUAUCUAGAGUGUCGGAGAGGCAAGUGGAAUUCCUGGUGUAGCGGUGAAAUGCGUAGAUAUCAGGAGGAACACCAGUGGCGAAGGCGGCUUGCUGGACGAUGACUGACGUUGAGGCUCGAAAGCGUGGGGAGCAAACAGGAUUAGAUACCCCAGUAUUU